Molecule: long non-coding RNA, 510 nt
Organism: Sycon ciliatum
Lineage: Eukaryota; Metazoa; Porifera; Calcarea; Leucosolenida; Sycettidae
Exons: 3
Source: RefSeq, a predicted model, not a curated record
CAAGAGAACACCGCGGAAUAGUGACAGUGACCCUCCCCGCCUUCAGGAGCGUGGCGUUGAAGGUCUAAGAAAUUUAUUGUCGAAGAACGCGUUAGCCCAGUCACACGUACCGCUGAAUCCAAAUGCAGCGUCAUUUGUUCCUCGCGUACUGAGAGCACCGGACCUACCUACGAAACAAGCGUCAGAUGGUGAUGUUGGAGCAUCAACUGGGUCACAGCCAUCAAGUCUAACUUCUACCAUAUCCUCGAGACAACUCCAGUCUGCGGGGAAUGCUCGUUGUCGUCUCCCGCCAAAAGGACCCGGAAGAUGCCGAGCACAGCCUCCAAACAUGGCUGGUGCUGGGAAUGGUGGAGCAUCAACAGGGCCGCCUACUACCGCAUAUGGACGAAUGACGUUGACUCCCACCGACCAACCUGGAUCUAAGCAGAAGAUGAGGGAUAGUGAUAGUGAUUCGUUGCAGAGUGCCUCAUUUCCAUCGAGUGAGUCGCCGUCCCUUCAGGCCAGAAAGAA